GAAAUGUCCCAGCUUGUGAAGACCAGAUUGUGCACUAACUGAGUUGAGUUCAUUAUGAAGAUUCUCCUUAGUGUACUCUCUGUGGUAUUCACAACACAUUAUGUGAACUCUCAGAUGUCCUUUGUGGAGUCUGGUCCCAGCAUUGUGAAGCCAGCACAGUCUCUGGAUGUAACAUGUACAGUGAAAGGAGCCUCUCUCACUGACAGCAGCAAGUAUUACAGUGUGGAAUGGGUACGACAGUUUCCUGGAAAGGGCCUGGAGUGGAUGGGUCGCAUCAUCCAUAAUGGGGAUUUAUAUUAUGCUCAGUCAUUGAAAGGAAGAAUAACAAUAACGAGAGAAAUCAGUAAAGGAGAAGUUUAUUUAAAACUCAACAAUGUGAAUGUAGAUGACUCUGGGAAAUAUCACUGUGCAAGAGACACAGUGCAACAGAGCUGUGUACUCCUACUACAAUAA
Rana temporaria (common frog) is the source of this 453-nucleotide non-coding RNA. NCBI's taxonomy places the organism in Eukaryota, Metazoa, Chordata, Amphibia, Anura, Ranidae. The record is from the annotation of a RefSeq genome assembly.